GUGGGGAAUAUUGGACAAUGGGCGAAAGCCUGAUCCAGCCAUGCCGCGUGUGUGAAGAAGGUCUUCGGAUUGUAAAGCACUUUAAGUUGGGAGGAAGGGUAGUAACCUAAUACGUUGCUACUUUGACGUUACCGACAGAAUAAGCACCGGCUAACUUCGUGCCAGCAGCCGCGGUAAUACGAAGAGUGCAAGCGUUAAUCGGAAUUACUGGGCGUAAAGCGCGCGUAGGUGGUUCAGUAAGUUGGAAGUGAAAUCCCCGGGCUCAACCUGGGAACUGCUAUCAAAACUGCGGAGCUAGAGUACGGUAGAGGGUGGUGGAAGUUCCUGUGUAGCGGUGAAAUGCGUAGAUAUAGGAAGGAACACCAGGGGCGAAGGCGACCACCUGGACUGAUACUGACACUGAGGUGCGAAAGCGUGGGGAGCAAACAGGAUUAGAUACCCGUGUAGUCA
Molecule: ribosomal RNA, 450 nt
Filed under: uncultured bacterium
Lineage: Bacteria
Description: partial 16S ribosomal RNA
Rfam family: Bacterial small subunit ribosomal RNA
Source: RNAcentral